Molecule: long non-coding RNA, 1359 nt
Organism: Solanum stenotomum
Lineage: Eukaryota; Viridiplantae; Streptophyta; Magnoliopsida; Solanales; Solanaceae
Exons: 3
Source: RefSeq, a predicted model, not a curated record
AAAAACAAAACCCAAACUUAAUUGACAUUUUUCAUUUAAUUGUCUCCUAGAAACAUCCAUAUGUCCUUUCUCUCUUUUCUUACUAUCAACCUCAAGUCUUCACAGCGGAUUGCACUUCAGGAAACUGAUGGCACAAGGCAUAAAUGGAAGGAUUCUAAGAUGAAGAAACUAAAAUUACUAGCUGAAGUUUGGUAAGUAUCAUUUAUAUAUAUAAUAGUUGCACAUAUAAUGGCAUUUAUGUAGAAAGCAUUAUUGUUAGUGUUAACUUUUUUCCUGUUGCUUUAGGUGUUUUCUUUGACUUUUGAUACUUUGGUUGAUUGUGGUGUAGUAUAUUGCAAGUCUCACAUAAGCACACGUACUGUCAUGAGAAGCAUGUUAUUCAUAGGGAUAUAAAGCCGGAAAAUCUGUUACUUGAUCAUGAAGUAACAUCUUGAUAAGUACUAACUGCCUUCCUUUGCCACAUCUGGUAAGUUUUAUUAGCACCAUUUGACAGAAGCAAGAAAAAUGAACACACUAGACACACAAUGUAGUUUUUCGACAAACCAAGGAGUGUCAAUAUGUAAUAUAUAUAUAUAUAUAUAUACACACAAAACAAAUACUUUUACCUAGACACACAAUGUAAUUUUUUGACAAAGGGGUGUCGAUCAACAUACACCUCAGAUAUAUGUGGUUCCGCUACUGAGUGCAAGGUGGCUCCAACACGGACAAUGGAGUAACACUUUGAAAUAUUCGCUCAUAUGUUCCAACUCUGCAGGCAUUUAGAUUUCUCCUAAGAAUGAUAUUACUUGAGUUAUUGCUUCUCCUCUGAGUUGCAUUCCUAUCCUAUCCCCGCCUAUUCAAUAAUGAGAGAGUGAUCAGACCAAUUAGGUGUCUAGCAGUUGGAUAUGUAGGACGAGCAUUGUAAAACUUUGAGGUCGAUUAGACCUAUGCUAAAAAAAUAGUUGAACAGAAAUUCCUUUAUAUACUUUGAUAAGCAAUGUUGCUAGUUUGGAAGGAUUUGAGGAUUUCAGGUGUAGCUAUAUUGAAGUUAUUCAUUUGUCAACAAUGACUUUAUUUGCUAAAACUUCUAAACUUCCAAUUUCUUUUUAUCAUCUGAUUGGUUUUAUUAGAAGCAACAAGUAAGUGUCGGCAUCCCUUUAAUAUUUUUCCUUAAUUUCUUUUGCCUUCCCCUAAAUAUUAGUCUUUAUCAUACUUGGAUCUAUAGUUAUUAACAAUUUCAUGAUUAUAUUCUUGAAUUUUACGGUGGUUGACUUCAUAAAAAAUAAGGUGCAAGCUAGAUAUAUUUCAUGUGAUUCGACGCUUUGACAAAUUGCAAAUCAUCUGAUCAUUGCAUGACAUGAUAGGAUACUUUUUUUUUUU